AUAAUAGGCUAAUCUUUUUGGGAUUAGAAAAUUUGUUACCUCAAUGUCUGCUCUUCGUCACCUGGGGUUGUAAAAUUUUCCAAGGGUUAGGUUGUUCACCUAAUAAAAUGGUACGUGCGCUGAGUUAAGAACAUCGUAAAAUAAUUU
This 147-nucleotide non-coding RNA is filed under the name Ipomoea nil (Japanese morning glory). Its description in RNAcentral is "Bacterial large subunit ribosomal RNA". It matches the Rfam family "Bacterial large subunit ribosomal RNA", at positions 2474 to 2632 of the family's 2925-position model. The record is from Rfam by way of RNAcentral. Lineage: Eukaryota; Viridiplantae; Streptophyta; Magnoliopsida; Solanales; Convolvulaceae.